Molecule: ribosomal RNA, 269 nt
Filed under: uncultured prokaryote
Description: partial 16S ribosomal RNA
Rfam family: Bacterial small subunit ribosomal RNA
Source: RNAcentral
UACGUAGGGAGCAAGCGUUGUUCGGAUUUAUUGGGCGUAAAGAGCGCGUAGGCGGCUUGGCAAGUCCGUUGUGAAAUCUCACAGCUCAACUGUGAAACUGCAGCGGAAACUGCCUCGCUAGAGUGCGGGAGAGGAGAGUGGAAUUCCCAGUGUAGAGGUGAAAUUCGUAGAUACUGGGAGGAACACCGGUGGCGAAGGCGGCUCUCUGGACCGCAACUGACGCUGAGGCGCGAAAGCUAGGGGAGCAAACGGGAUUAGAUACCCGUGUA